RNAcentral lists this ribosomal RNA (612 nucleotides) under uncultured bacterium. RNAcentral's name for it is "bacterial SSU rRNA". It matches the Rfam family "Bacterial small subunit ribosomal RNA", at positions 100 to 708 of the family's 1533-position model. The record is from RNAcentral.
GAACGGGUGAGUAAUACAUCGGAACGUACCCAGUAAUGGGGGAUAACUAUCCGAAAGGAUAGCUAAUACCGCAUACGCCCUACGGGGGAAAGAGGGGGAUCGCAAGACCUCUUGUUAUUGGAGCGGCCGAUGGCUGAUUAGCUAGUUGGUGAGGUAAAGGCUCACCAAGGCGACGAUCAGUAGCGGGUCUUAGAGGACGAUCCGCCACACUGGAACUGAGACACGGUCCAGACUCCUACGGGAGGCAGCAGUGGGGAAUCUUGGACAAUGGGCGCAAGCCUGAUCCAGCAAUGCCGCGUGCGUGAAGAAGGCCUUCGGGUUGUAAAGCGCUUUUGUCAGGGAGCAAAAGGUGGUGGCUAAUAUCCAUCGCUCUUGAGAGUACCUGAAGAAUAAGGACCGGCUAACUACGUGCCAGCAGCCGCGGUAAUACGUAGGGUCCAAGCGUUUAUCGGAAUUACUGGGCGUAAAGCGUGCGCAGGUGGUUUGUUAAGCACGAUGUGAAAUCCCCGAGCUCAACUUGGGAAUUGCAUUUUGAACUGGCUAACUAGAGCACGGCAGAGGGGGGUGGAAUUCCACUUGUAGCAGUGAAAUGCGUAUAUAUGUGGAGGAACA